This is a long non-coding RNA of Diprion similis, 253 nucleotides long. RefSeq lists it as uncharacterized. The record is from RefSeq and is a predicted model, not a curated record. NCBI's taxonomy places the organism in Eukaryota, Metazoa, Arthropoda, Insecta, Hymenoptera, Diprionidae. The transcript has 3 exons.
UAAAAAUUAAACCACCCGCUAUGCAGUGAAUAAAACUGAAAGUGUGAAAAGUGUGUUACCGCCAUACAACCUGAGAAGCCACGAAGACUACUACACAUAUAUGUAAAGUGUGGAGCAACCCGGAGGAGAGUUAAGCAGAGACAUCCGAGUAACUUCUCCAUUACUCAGCAACGUUGGUGAGUUUGCACGUGUUUAGGUUACGGGUAUUAAUUCCCUGGGACUCCUUUGUCACGUGGCGUGGCGGUAAAAAUUG